This 262-nucleotide ribosomal RNA is filed under the name Bacillus pumilus. Its description in RNAcentral is "partial 16S ribosomal RNA". It matches the Rfam family "Bacterial small subunit ribosomal RNA", at positions 1280 to 1533 of the family's 1533-position model. Lineage: Bacteria; Bacillati; Bacillota; Bacilli; Caryophanales; Bacillaceae. The record is from RNAcentral.
AUCUGUUCUCAGUUCGGAUCGCAGUCUGCAACUCGACUGCGUGAAGCUGGAAUCGCUAGUAAUCGCGGAUCAGCAUGCCGCGGUGAAUACGUUCCCGGGCCUUGUACACACCGCCCGUCACACCACGAGAGUUUGCAACACCCGAAGUCGGUGAGGUAACCUUUAUGGAGCCAGCCGCCGAAGGUGGGGCAGAUGAUUGGGGUGAAGUCGUAACAAGGUAGCCGUAUCGGAAGGUGCGGCUGGAUCACCUCCUUUCUAAGGA